UCCCUGGAGAACUAGUGGUUAGGCCUUGGUGCUCUGACUGCCGCGGCCCGGGUUCGAUUCCCAGCCAGGGAA
Non-coding RNA from Pangasius djambal, 72 nucleotides. The record is from the annotation of a GenBank genome assembly. NCBI's taxonomy places the organism in Eukaryota, Metazoa, Chordata, Actinopteri, Siluriformes, Pangasiidae.